CUCAGACGAACGCUGGCGGCGUGCUUAACACAUGCAAGUCGAACGAUGAACCACUUCGGUGGGGAUUAGUGGCGAACGGGUGAGUAACACGUGGGCAAUCUGCCCUGCACUCUGGGACAAGCCCUGGAAACGGGGUCUAAUACCGGAUACUGACCAUCUUGGGCAUCUUUGAUGGUCGAAAGCUCCGGCGGUGCAGGAUGAGCCCGCGGCCUAUCAGCUAGUUGGUGAGGUAAUGGCUCACCAAGGCGACGACGGGUAGCCGGCCUGAGAGGGCGACCGGCCACACUGGGACUGAGACACGGCCCAGACUCCUACGGGAGGCAGCAGUGGGGAAUAUUGCACAAUGGGCGAAAGCCUGAUGCAGCGACGCCGCGUGAGGGAUGACGGCCUUCGGGUUGUAAACCUCUUUCAGCAGGGAAGAAGCGAAAGUGACGGUACCUGCAGAAGAAGCGCCGGCUAACUACGUGCCAGCAGCCGCGGUAAUACGUAGGGCGCAAGCGUUGUCCGGAAUUAUUGGGCGUAAAGAGCUCGUAGGCGGCUUGUCACGUCGGUUGUGAAAGCCCGGGGCUUAACCCCGGGUCUGCAGUCGAUACGGGCAGGCUAGAGUUCGGUAGGGGAGAUCGGAAUUCCUGGUGUAGCGGUGAAAUGCGCAGAUAUCAGGAGGAACACCGGUGGCGAAGGCGGAUCUCUGGGCCGAUACUGACGCUGAGGAGCGAAAGCGUGGGGAGCGAACAGGAUUAGAUACCCUGGUAGUCCACGCCGUAAACGGUGGGCACUAGGUGUGGGCAACAUUCCACGUUGUCCGUGCCGCAGCUAACGCAUUAAGUGCCCCGCCUGGAGA
This 841-nucleotide ribosomal RNA is filed under the name Streptomyces purpurascens. RNAcentral's name for it is "bacterial SSU rRNA". It matches the Rfam family "Bacterial small subunit ribosomal RNA", at positions 23 to 879 of the family's 1533-position model. Lineage: Bacteria; Bacillati; Actinomycetota; Actinomycetes; Kitasatosporales; Streptomycetaceae. The record is from RNAcentral.